Molecule: ribosomal RNA, 460 nt
Filed under: uncultured bacterium
Lineage: Bacteria
Description: partial 16S ribosomal RNA
Rfam family: Bacterial small subunit ribosomal RNA
Source: RNAcentral
CCUACGGGGGGCAGCAGUGAGGAAUAUUGGUCAAUGGGCGCGAGACUGAACCAGCCAAGUAGCGUGAAGGAGGACGGCACUGCGGGUUGUAAACUUCUUUUAUAAGGGAAUAAAGUGAGGCACGUGUGCCUGGUUGAGUGUACUUGAUGAAUAAGGAUCGGCUAACUCCGUGCCAGCAGCCGCGGUAAUACGGAGGAUGCGAGCGUUAUCCGGAUUUAUUGGGUUUAAAGGGAGCGUAGAUGGGUUGUUAAGUCAGUGGUGAAAGUUUGCGGCUAAACCGUAAACUGGCAAUUGAUACUGGCAGCCUCGAGUACAGGUGAGGUAGGCGGAAUGCGUGGUGUAGCGGUGAAAUGCUUAGAUAUCGCGAAGAACUCCGAUUGCGAAGGCAGCAUACCGGCGGCGAUCUGACGCUGAGGCACGAAAGCGUGGGUAUCGAACAGGAUUAGAUACCCGAGUAGUC